RNAcentral lists this ribosomal RNA (502 nucleotides) under uncultured bacterium. Its description in RNAcentral is "partial 16S ribosomal RNA". It matches the Rfam family "Bacterial small subunit ribosomal RNA", at positions 30 to 523 of the family's 1533-position model. The record is from RNAcentral.
AUUGAACGCUGGCGGCAGGCUUAACACAUGCAAGUCGAGCGGUAACAGGAGAAGCUUGCUUCUCGCUGACGAGCGGCGGACGGGUGAGUAAUACUUAGGAAUCUACCUAGUAGUGGGGGAUAGCUCGGGGAAACUCGAAUUAAUACCGCAUACGACCUACGGGAGAAAGGGGGUAACUUGUUGCUCUCGCUAUUAGAUGAGCCUAAGUCGGAUUAGCUAGAUGGUGGGGUAAAGGCCUACCAUGGCGACGAUCUGUAGCUGGUCUGAGAGGAUGAGCAGCCACACCGGGACUGAGACACGGCCCGGACUCCUACGGGAGGCAGCAGUGGGGAAUAUUGGACAAUGGGGGCAACCCUGAUCCAGCCAUGCCGCGUGUGUGAAGAAGGCCUUUUGGUUGUAAAGCACUUUAAGCAGUGAAGAAGACUCUAGGGUUAAUACCCUUAGACGAUGACAUUAGCUGCAGAAUAAGCACCGGCUAACUCUGUGCCAGCAGCCGCGGUAA